GGGGAUAUGACUCAGUGGUAGAGUGCUUGCCUAGCAUGUAUGAGGUCCUCAUUCGAUCCCUAGCACCA
RNAcentral lists this transfer RNA (68 nucleotides) under Marmota monax (woodchuck). Its description in RNAcentral is "tRNA.Ala". Lineage: Eukaryota; Metazoa; Chordata; Mammalia; Rodentia; Sciuridae. The record is from RNAcentral.